CAGGAGACUGAGGUUGCUGGGUCCAGCAUAAUGACAGCAAGAUCUUCCACAAGCAAGCUCUUCCACAAGCAGAGCUUUUCUGAUUAAUAUAUUGUGUGCAAAAAAUAUACAGCAAAUUGGGUAAGAAACUUCAACAGCCAGUUGCUCCAAGGGGACUUCCAAAUAAGAGCAUCCUCAGAAAUUACCCUGCAUACAUGUGCUCUGUUCUCCAAUGACAGACCAGCUCCAAAAAAGGCCUUGGUUCAAGCUGUUGAUCCAAUACCGCCAAAUCUUUGUUCACUGUAAGUAGCUUGCAGUGGAAAUCUAACAUUCAACUGGAAUAACUUGGAUUUCCCCCCUGCUCAGUAGUGUGAACUACAUAGCUACAUGGGAACUGAAUGAACUUUAUUAAGAAAAGGAA
This is a long non-coding RNA of Oxyura jamaicensis (ruddy duck), 400 nucleotides long. RefSeq lists it as uncharacterized. The transcript is spliced from 2 exons. The record is from RefSeq and is a predicted model, not a curated record. NCBI's taxonomy places the organism in Eukaryota, Metazoa, Chordata, Aves, Anseriformes, Anatidae.